This 254-nucleotide ribosomal RNA is filed under the name uncultured bacterium. Its description in RNAcentral is "partial 16S ribosomal RNA". It matches the Rfam family "Bacterial small subunit ribosomal RNA", at positions 524 to 776 of the family's 1533-position model. The record is from RNAcentral.
UACGGGGGGAGCAAGCGUUGUUCGGAUUUACUGGGCGUAAAGGGCGCGUAGGCGGCCUCCGCAAGUCGACUGUGAAAUCUCCGGGCUUAACCCGGAAAGGUCAGCCGAAACUGCGGGGCUAGAGUGCAGGAGGGGCAACUGGAAUUCUCGGUGUAGCGGUGAAAUGCGUAGAUAUCGAGAGGAACACCUGCGGCGAAGGCGGGUUGCUGGGCUGACACUGACGCUGAAGUGCGAAAGCUAGGGGAGCGAACGGG